UUUCAUCCAAUUUCAGUCUUUUGCUGCUUUCCAGCUUCACCUGAGGUGGUUCAGAGACAUGGAGGGGGUUGUGGGGGCACAGGCAGCCUCCUGACCAGUUCUCUGCCUUACUCCUCCACUUUCUCCACUGCCCCCUGGGAGGCUGAGGCAGGAGAAUGGCUUGAACCCACGAGGCAGAGGUUGCAGGGAGCCAAGAUCACACCACUGCACACCAGCCAGGGCAACAGUGUGAAACUCCAUCUCAAAAAAAAAAAAAAAAAAAAAAGGAAAAAGGAAUUAUUAAAAAGGAACCAGAACUUGAAGAUUUGGGAAAUUCUCAACCUAUUCGUAUUACUGAUGACCCUUCCAAACAGCUGUGCCAGUGGGUCUGGAAGGCAGGGCACAAACUAGAGGAUUAUUCUAGAGCCUUAAGAUAUAAUGGGAUUUGCCUAACUAGGUUUUAGACUUGCUUGGUUCCUGCUGUCCCUUUCUUCAGUUCAAUUUCUCUCUUUUGGAAUGGGAACAUCCCUCCUAUGCCUGUCCCACCAUUGUAUUUUGGAAACAGAUAACCUGUGUGAGUUCACACGUUUACAGCCAGAGAGGAAUUUUGCCUCAAGAUUCAUCAUCAAAUCUCACUCAUAUCUGAUUUAGAUGAUAUUUAGAUAAGUCUUUGGACUUUAGACUUUGGAGUUGAUGCUGAAAUGAGUUAAAACUUUUGGAGCUGUUGGGAUGAAAUGAAUAUAUUUUGCAUGAGAUAAGAACAUGAAUUUGGGGUGCAGGGGUGGAAUGCUAGAGACUGAAUUGUGUUGCCCCCCAAAAAUUUGUAUGUUGAAGCCAUAGCCCCCAAUAUGACUGUAUCUAGAUAUAAGGUUUUUAAGGGGUAAUUAAGGUUAAAUGAGAUCAUGAAGAUGCAUCCCUAAUACAAUAGAACUGUGGCCUCACAAUAAGAGGAAGAAAGAGAGAGCUCUGUCUCUCUCUCUCCUAGAUAUGUGACUCAGUGAGAAGGCAGCCACCUGCAAGCCAGGAAGAGGGCCUUCACCAGGACCUGACCAUGCUGGCACCCUGAUCUUGAACUUCCAGCCUGCAGAACUGGGAGAAAAUUAAUUUCUGUUUCUUAAGCCACUCAGUCAAUAGUAUUUUGUUAUGGCAGCCUGAGCUGACUACUAGAAUCAUGGCUGUGGGAAAGAUGGAGUGGAGAAAAAGGUUACAAGCUGAGGAAGUCAAGGAGCUGAGAAGUCAGGAUAUCAGCUGGGUCAGCCACAUACACACCAAAGACACCAGAAUAACAGUUGGACUGAGAGUGCUGAUGGCAAGGGGCAGUUGCCAAACACUUUAAAGCACAAAUGAGGGGGACUGUCCAGGAGGGUGUCAGAUGACAGCACAUCAGAGGGAUAGGAUUUGUUCUGCCUGGGAGCAGCAACGUCUGCUGAUGGAGGGAAAGAAGACAGGUUCCAAGAUCCCAACAGUGGGGUCCACAAGGGAACAAGGAGGUGAACAACUCACCUCAAAGGACAGAUGAUCUAAGAACAUUUAUACUGUGUUGACUCCACCACCCAGAUAUUUAGUUCAGUACACAAAUGCCUCCCACCAAACGCCCAAAAUGUUUCUCUAAAGUUUCUCUGUAUAAAAGAGACUGAAAGGAAAGGCAAUCAUUAACACAAGUGAUAGAAAGUUACCAAAAAGAGAAGAUGCCUAGGAGAGUGAUGGCAUUUCCGAAUGUGGGGAUUCACAAAGAGCUCCAGGUACAUCCUUUGGGGAUAAUAAUCUGAUCUGCAACAUAAAGCAGAUGAAAAGUGCACAAAAUGGGGGAAAGAGGCACUGUCAAAGAAACUGACACAAAGUCAUGGAUGGGAACAACAAGUGUGCCAGGUCAGAGGGAAGGCAGCCCAGCAGAGGGCAGGUGUUUGGGCACCUGGGAGUGAGUCCACUCACUGUCAUCAGGAAUCCCUGAGAAAAUUCCAAGGGAGUUAGCCAAUCCUCCAACCUCCCAGUGAGUGGGUGCCAGUCAAAGUGGGCAAUGCACUUAAAACCAGAAGAAGAUUAAGAAGUAAAGAGGACUGCAUCAAGACUUGCCUCUGUUUCUAACUGGAAGAAUCUGCCAGCCCUUUAGAGCAGGGGUCUAACCCCUGGUACCGGUGUGUGGUCUGUUGGGAACCGGGCCACACAGCGGGAGGUGAGCGGAGGGUGGGUGAGCAUUACCCCCUGAGCUCCACCUCCUGUGACAUCAGUGGGGGCAUUAGAUUCUCACAGGAGCACAAACCCUUCCGUGAACUGUGCAUGUGAGGGAUCCAGGUUGCAUGCUCCUUACGAGAAUCUAAUGCCUGAUGAUCUGAGGUGGAACAGUUUCAUCCUGAAACCACCAUCACCUCCUGCCCCCCGACACCCAUUCCAUCAGUGGAAAAAUUGUCUUCCACAAAACUGGUCCAUGGUGCCAAAAAGGUUAGGGACUGCUGCUUUAGAGAAAGAGGGACGAAACAGGCCCGCAUGUAUGUGAAGAGACAUCUGUGUACUAAUAGUUCAGAAAAUUGUUAAGAAAGCUGCAGUCAAGUUCACCCACAAUAUCGUAUUAAUUCUUCUCCACUGAUUCUUAUUGUUUACAAAAUCCUGAGUUAGAAUGCAUCUUUCUGAUUUCUUAAAUAAGAUAAAAGAAGCAUAAACCACAACAGAAAAAGAUUGAUAAGCUUAACAAAAUGAAAAUGUAAUAUUUUUUAUAUAACAAAAGACACCAGAAAGAAAGUUAAAGCCAAUAUCAAGGACAAAAGGAGCCACAGAUUGGAGGAAUAUAUUUGUAAUGCGUGAAACUGAUAGAGAAUGAGUAUUCAGGAUACACAAAAAUCCCUGCAAAUCAUCGUUUUCGAGAAUGAACAAUUAAAAAUAAC
Papio anubis (olive baboon) is the source of this 2858-nucleotide long non-coding RNA. The record is from Ensembl. Lineage: Eukaryota; Metazoa; Chordata; Mammalia; Primates; Cercopithecidae.